AUGACUGAUGGCUACGCAUCUCUCUAGGGGUGGGGGUGGGGAAGCUGUAGGAAGCUGUAGCUGCGACAGCAGCCAGGGGCCCAAGAGGCAUGGCCAAACAACCUGCCGUCCCUUAGGGUCAUCGGGGUUCCAGGCUUGUGUUCAACCGGGGACCAGGAUGUCUGUGCACAGCUCACCGCUCCACAGGAACGUGGGAUAGAACUUUUGGACGGUUCUGUUAUAACGGGUGAAGAGUACGGUGUCUAAGGGGUUCCCAUUAUCCCAAACUCGGUUCCAUAUCCACGCCCCUCGUCUUGUGCUGAGGAAAACCUGCCAUAGAGGAGUGGACACCUGCUAGCUGUUCACCAUUCUCUGUGAUCCUAUGCAUCUCACAAAUGAUUGAUGCCUUUUCUAUAAACAAGAACAGUGUUGUUCAAAAGAAACUGAAUGUAAACACCACAAACACAACUUCAUGACAGUCACGUAAAAAUAGGAAGAAGUCUUAUUACCAUCCUGCUUCAACGUAACCUCCUGAGAACUGCGAGGGGUGUGGAUUCUCUUCUCAUCCGCUUUUCAACCAGCCGAAGGGACACAACAGUAUACAAAACAACACAGGGCGGUGCUUCUCAGCUGUCUGCAGAGGGCAAUAGGUAUCUGGGGCAGAUCUUUUGGACGGCUCUAUUAUAACGAGUGAAGAGUGUGGCGUCCAUGGGAUUCCCAUGAUCCCAAACCCGGUUCCAUAUCCACGACCCUCUUCUUGUGCUGAGGAAAACCUUCAAGAGAGGAAUGGUUGCCUGGUGACGGAAAGAACACUGAACUAUUGCCAAAAGAAGAGAGAACAAUACUUGGGUGAUGUUGUUUAUCUUCAGAUGUCCCCAAUCUCAAAUGCUAUGACAGACACAAAAUAUAAAAUUAACACUUAGGUAUGUAUGUAAAUAGUAUGCUCAUGAUAAAGUGAUAAGCAUGACUAAAAUAAAUGUAUGCCAUGUACUCACAAACACAUUCACCCAAAAUACAUCAUAACAAAAUAAAGAUGGACUAUUCCCAGCAAUUACCG
Molecule: long non-coding RNA, 1036 nt
Organism: Mastomys coucha (southern multimammate mouse)
Lineage: Eukaryota; Metazoa; Chordata; Mammalia; Rodentia; Muridae
Exons: 6
Source: RefSeq, a predicted model, not a curated record